Molecule: ribosomal RNA, 438 nt
Filed under: Escherichia coli
Lineage: Bacteria; Pseudomonadati; Pseudomonadota; Gammaproteobacteria; Enterobacterales; Enterobacteriaceae
Description: partial 23S ribosomal RNA
Rfam family: Bacterial large subunit ribosomal RNA
Source: RNAcentral
GGGUUGUGAGGUUAAGCGACUAAGCGUACACGGUGGAUGCCCUGGCAGUCAGAGGCGAUGAAGGACGUGCUAAUCUGCGAUAAGCGUCGGUAAGGUGAUAUGAACCGUUAUAACCGGCGAUUUCCGAAUGGGGAAACCCAGUGUGAUUCGUCACACUAUCAUUAACUGAAUCCAUAGGUUAAUGAGGCGAACCGGGGGAACUGAAACAUCUAAGUACCCCGAGGAAAAGAAAUCAACCGAGAUUCCCCCAGUAGCGGCGAGCGAACGGGGAGGAGCCCAGAGCCUGAAUCAGUGUGUGUGUUAGUGGAAGCGUCUGGAAAGGCGCGCGAUACAGGGUGACAGCCCCGUACACAAAAAUGCACAUACUGUGAGCUCGAUGAGUAGGGCGGGACACGUGGUAUCCUGUCUGAAUAUGGGGGGACCAUCCUCCAAGGCUAA